Molecule: ribosomal RNA, 29 nt
Filed under: Hordeum vulgare
Lineage: Eukaryota; Viridiplantae; Streptophyta; Magnoliopsida; Poales; Poaceae
Also listed under: 1 other name
Source: RNAcentral
GGAUGCGAUCAUAACAGCACUAAACCACC